GGCUGUUGGAGCAACAGCAGGCACUGCAGAGUCUCUAAUAAAUAACCCGCAUUGAUCUCUCAUUUUGUGAUUUAUCUUGGUUUAUUUGCUCUUCGAGCUUUGAUUCACGGCUCCAUGGGGAGAUUUUGGAAAAUCAUUUACCCAUCAGCUGAGGCACACUGACUGUAGCCCAUAAAAGGUCAAGGGGGAACAGACCCAAGAUGGGAAUCUCAGCCGCUGAUCUUUCCAGGGCGAUAACCAGAUUCUGCACACGGUGACCACAGGGAGGAAACAUGGAUAAGUUGUUGCUGUGUCUCCUGGUCAUCGUUAACCUCACUGGUGCUUUUUUCCAAGGAGACACAUACAGAAAGGCCUUUGUGUUCCCCAGAGAAUCAGAUACAUCCUUUGUGACCCUGUUUGCUCCGGUGCAGAAGCCGCUGAAAGCUUUCGCCAUGUGCCUACAAGCCUACACCGCCUCGUCCCGCCCUUAGAGCCUCUUCUCUUACGCCACCAGGGCGCAGCACAAUGAGAUCCUUCUCUUCAGGGAAAAGCUUGGCUUAUACAGCGUACCUGUGGGUGGAUCUGACAUCUACUUCAGGGUUCCUGAGACCUUUUACAAACCAAGGCACUUCUGUGUUACCUGGGAGUCCAGCACGGGGAUUACAGAGCUCUGGGUGGAUGGGAAGCCCAUGGACCACCAGUUCUCAUUGUGUGAUAUAUCUAUUACUUCUCCUCCUUGUCUACCAUCACACAGAGCACUCUUACCUGUGUGCCUCGUCCUUAUAAUGUGAGCUUUCACUUUUUUAAGCCUUUCCUCCGCAUCACUGAUUCAUUUUUCCCUUUGGCAUAUUGGGAUCCUUCCUAUUUCUGAUGCCACUGAAAAU
This 863-nucleotide long non-coding RNA is filed under the name Zalophus californianus (California sea lion). RNAcentral describes it as "lncRNA (ENSZCAG00015010463.1)". The record is from RNAcentral. Lineage: Eukaryota; Metazoa; Chordata; Mammalia; Carnivora; Otariidae.